RNAcentral lists this ribosomal RNA (495 nucleotides) under fungal sp. GQGC4. Its description in RNAcentral is "eukaryotic LSU rRNA". The stretch from base 131 to 284 matches the Rfam family "5.8S ribosomal RNA". Lineage: Eukaryota; Fungi. The record is from RNAcentral.
GGUGGCUUUGCCUGCUAUCUCUUACCCAUGUCUUUUAAGUACCUUCGUUUCCUCGGCGGGUUCGCCCGCCGAUUGGACAAUUUAAACCAUUUGCAGUUGCAAUCAGCGUCUGAAAAAACUUAAUAGUUACAACUUUCAACAACGGAUCUCUUGGUUCUGGCAUCGAUGAAGAACGCAGCGAAAUGCGAUAAGUAGUGUGAAUUGCAGAAUUCAGUGAAUCAUCGAAUCUUUGAACGCACAUUGCGCCCCUUGGUAUUCCAUGGGGCAUGCCUGUUCGAGCGUCAUUUGUACCUUCAAGCUCUGCUUGGUGUUGGGUGUUUGUCUCGCCUCUGCGUGUAGACUCGCCUCAAAACAAUUGGCAGCCGGCGUAUUGAUUUCGGAGCGCAGUACAUCUCGCGCUUUGCACUCAUAACGACGACGUCCAAAAGUACAUUUUUACACUCUUGACCUCGGAUCAGGUAGGGAUACCCGCUGAACUUAAGCAUAUCAAAGAGC